This 253-nucleotide ribosomal RNA is filed under the name uncultured bacterium. RNAcentral's name for it is "partial 16S ribosomal RNA". It matches the Rfam family "Bacterial small subunit ribosomal RNA", at positions 524 to 776 of the family's 1533-position model. The record is from RNAcentral.
UACGGAGGGAGCAAGCGGUGUUAGGGCUCAUUGGGCGUAAAGAGCGGGUCGGCGGUCCGGUAAGUCGGGUGUGAAAACCCCGGGCUCAACCCGGGAAGUGCAUUCGAAACUGCCGGACUUGAGUACGGGAGGGGGAAGUGGCAUUCCUGGUGUAGGGGUGAAAUCCGUAGAUGUCAGGAGGAACACCGGUGGCGAAGGCGACUUCCUGGACCGACACUGACGCUGAGUCGCGAAAGCGUGGGGAGCACACAGG